RNAcentral lists this transfer RNA (88 nucleotides) under Stemphylium lycopersici. RNAcentral's name for it is "tRNA-Glu". It matches the Rfam family "tRNA". Rfam says of the family: Transfer RNA (tRNA) molecules are approximately 80 nucleotides in length. Their secondary structure includes four short double-helical elements and three loops (D, anti-codon, and T loops). Lineage: Eukaryota; Fungi; Ascomycota; Dothideomycetes; Pleosporales; Pleosporaceae. The record is from RNAcentral.
UCCGGUAUGGUGUAUCGGCUAGCAUCCGUCGCUUUCAUCCCAGAUGUCAGCUUCCGACGAGAGCCGGGUUCGAUUCCCGGUACCGGAA